Molecule: long non-coding RNA, 713 nt
Organism: Bubalus bubalis (water buffalo)
Lineage: Eukaryota; Metazoa; Chordata; Mammalia; Artiodactyla; Bovidae
Exons: 3
Source: RefSeq, a predicted model, not a curated record
UUUUGCAUUUCUAACGCGCAUUCCUCCUUCUAAAGAGGAAAGUGAUAAGUUAAAGCAAGUUCUCAAGUACCAUUGUAGCAAGCUAAUUCCCUUUUUCCACAUGCGAUUCAGAGAGAAAGGUCAAGUCGGCUGUCACUUCUCUCUAACUGACGCUCAGAGUCUGUGUGCACAGAGCAUGAUGUAUAUAAAAGAAGCCAAGCACUCGGCCAUUUUCUGCGUCAACUGCAUUCAUCGCAAACCCUCCAUCUUGAGCCGAAAUGAAAGAUUAGGUACAGAUGAGUUUGUAAACAGCAAGUGUGCAGAGAAGUUCUUUCUGCUCAAAACCAAACACCUCUUCCUCCAACAUUCUGAAAUAGAUGUUUUUACCUCAAAAUGACUCAUAUUCAUAUGAAGAGUUGGCUGAAAUUUAAGAAGUCAGUCUUCAGUCAUUUUGUACUAAGAAAACAAUACAGUCAUGGAGAAGCUAUGAUUUUUACAAACAGAGAUAGAUCAUUCAUAACAUUUUGCAUGUAUGUAUCUUACAAGCAAGCUGGGCACACAGAUUUCUUGAGGACAGCAAACAUGAACGGGGCCGGUGCCACCCACUCUUUGAAUAUCACUGGGUGAGUUUCCUGGAAGAAACAAGCCCCUCUGAGACGCUGAAGGCAGCACUGCGUGACCAAGAAGGCAGAAAAGAAGAAACAGGAGAAGGGCACUUUCUCCUUUCUAAAGUC